This 32-nucleotide transfer RNA is filed under the name Onychiurus orientalis. Its description in RNAcentral is "partial tRNA-Ile". Lineage: Eukaryota; Metazoa; Arthropoda; Collembola; Poduromorpha; Onychiuridae. The record is from RNAcentral.
UAGGGUGAAUUAUGUAUUUUCUACACUAUCUU